GAUAGGAUUUAUAAUUACAUUUCAUUUGAUAUAGCUACAUUGUAUUGUUUAUAAUAUAUGGAAAUUGAUAUAUAUUGAUUUGAUUUCCUUGUGGAUGAUCCUCAAAGUUUUUCGUCUGGGGGUCGACUCUGUUAAGAAAGUGACCUGCAGGUGUCGUUGUCCUUGGGCCGUUCGUUGUGGAGAUAGGGUUCCCCCGUGUUGCUUAGUUGUAAUUCUGGCUGAUAGAUGCCGUUGUCCGACCUUGGUUGCAAUAUUGUGUGCUUUCUUUAUAACUUUGAGCUGCUUCGUGUUGGUCGUCGACUCGAUUUGCGUGAUCAGCCGUUUUCUGUUUGGUUGAUGUUUAAGGUCUGUUUAAUGGUUCAAGAUAGUGGGGCCUGCCGUUGUUUUUAUUUUUAAUGACUCUGGACUUGUGGAGCUCCGGACUGUGUGGAGUAGGACUGUGUUGGAUUGGACGGCCGGGUGUGUUCAGGUGAGGAUAUCGGUGCGUUUCCGUUCAGACUCUGGUGAUACUCGCUAUGGACUGGGCCGUCCUCAUUCCUUCAUUGGUCCAUUUUCUUUUUAGCAUUUUCAGGAUGCUCCUCAUGAUGAUGAGCAGGAUAAGGAUGGUGACCAGUAUGAUGAGAAUUAUUACCGCCGUUGAUUGUUUGGAGAAUUCCUCCGAGUGUUUGUUUUGUGUUUCCACUAUGGUUAGCAGAGUGUUUCCGUGUAUCUCGGCACGGUUAUUCUCUUCUUCGGAUGAUGAAAAAAAGCCCAUUCUGAAUGCGACUGACUAAUACUCUUGGCGAUGUUGAACUGGAUGGUUUGGGCUUCGGUAUCGGAAAUUGAUCGAUAUGCGCUUCGGUCGGUGAAUCGGAGCGGUGUGCUGUAUGAUUAUUAUUGCUGACACCACUUGUUCGACAAUUCGAUCGGUGUAUUCAUUUUGGUCUUUAUUUUAGGUGUCCGAGUGAUUGUCAGCUGCUGUCGGUGCUAUUGUACAAAACGCUUAGCUGUUUGUUUACGCUGCCGGUUUCUCUUGCGUUUUUGAAGACUUUCGGUCGUAAUUUUUUCGGUGUUUGGUGUUUUGAUUUGGGUAUCUAGAUAGCAUUCGGGUGGGUUUGCGUUACGGAGUUAGGUUCCUCUUGCGUUUGUGAGGAUUUUUGGUCGUGACACUCAAAGACAUUCGAGUAGAUUGGCAUCUCGGAGUAGUUUAAGGAGUGCAUGUUCGUUGUCCGGGUUGUUGCUGAGUACCUCGCGGAUCGAGCUGGGCAGACUGUGAUGUCUGCGAAGACCGUGAAAUUUGGGGCAGUUGAUGAGAAUGUGUUCAACUGAGAGCCUGACGUUGCAUAUGGGGCAGGAUGGUGGUUGACAAUUUGAAAUGGUGUGUGCAUGGGUAAUUCUGGUGUGGCCGGUUCGCAAUCUGGAUAGGGCUCGUUGCUCCAUCCGGCUGCUUCUAUCGAUCCAUUUGUCGGGUUCACCUUUAAUUUUUUGGGUGUGCCCUGAGGAUGCUCUCCAGGUUCUGAUGAAGUGGUGUAAAGCUUUUGUAUUGACGCAUCUGAUGAGGUCCAUAGCUGGGACCGUUCUGGUAAGGUAGUGGUUGUUGGACCUGCCUAAAGCUGCGAGUGCGUCGGCUUCUUCGUUGCCGGGGAUUCCAGAGUGUCCGGGUAUCCAACAGAUGAUCGUCUGGUUGUUGCACUGUUCCUCUAUUGCUUGGAUGAAGGGGUGUAGGGAAUUGCCUGUUUCGAGGGCGGUGAGGACUGCCAAGGAGUCGGAUAGAAUUAUCGUUGGAGUGUUGGGGGGUUUGGAUUUGAUUGCGUAGAGGAUUGCUGAGGCUUCAGCCGAGAAUACUGAGCAUGAUGAGUGUAGCCGAAAGUUGUGGUUGGAUGUUGUGCUGUAGAUACCGGCUCCGACAUGUUCGUUCAGUUUGGAUCCGUCGGUAAAAAUUUGAUGAUGAUAGGGGUAGUUCUCUUCUAUUAGUCGGUGCAAGUGGGUUCGGACUACGUUUGAUUGUGUUCCUGCCCGGAGGGUGCGGGUUAAACUGGUGUCGAUGCGUGGAGUUUUGGCAAACCAUUCCCGCCGGCGGAUCUGUUGUAUCCUGGCAAGUUUGGGCAUUCUGGUAUUAUUGUACAUUAGGUACAGGUCUUUGGCAAUACUGAGUAAUAUUCGAUUGUUGCCUCUUGUUCUUUGUAGGAAGCCGAGAGUCCUUUUGAAAAUGGUGAUAUUGGCGUACCAUUGGAAGGGUAAGACUCCGGAUUCAACGCAGGCAGCGAACGCCGGGGUGCUAGGUAAGAGGUUGCUUGCCAGACGGAUUGAGCGGUUGUAGAGAGGAGCUAAUGUCUUCUGCAUGCCUUCCCGGUUUAGGCAAGUGAUUUCAAUUCCAUAGAAGAUCCGGCUGUUGAUUAGGGCCUUGCUGAUGUUGAGAGCUGUUCGUCGGUUCCAUCGGGGGUGGCAGGAGCUUAUUGUUUUGAUAAGUCGCAGCCGACUUUCGCAGUCUUUUUUAAUGUUCUUGAAGUGGUCGUUGAAAGUGAGCUUUCGGUCGAUCGUGAUGCCGAGUAUCUUGGGUAGGCGUUGAAAGGGUAUGUUAGUGUUAUCCAGUUUAAUUGGAUUUCCUGCAGCGACAUGGUGAGAGUUGCAACAAUGUGCAAUGGCGCAUUUCUGGGGUGCUAUGGAAAAUCCGACAGAGUUCGCCCAUUGGCCGAUUUUCUUAACCGCGGUUUGGAUCUUCCUGCGAAUGAAUUUGAGGUUUUUUCCUGUUGAGACGAGGAUUAUGUCGUCGGCAUAGACAAGUAUGUGGAGUUUGCUUGUUAUGUUUCGGAAUACAGGGUUCAUUGCUAUUAAAAAGAGUGUGACGGCUAGUGCGGAGCCUUGGGGUACCCCGUUGGUUUCGGUGAAGGUUGAUGAUCGGUUUCCUCCUAUGGUAACCUGGAAUUGACGAUUUUGAAGAUAGUUGCUGAGAAAUGCACCCAUGUUGCCGGUGAUUCCUUCUUUAAGUAGCGUGCGCAGUAUGCCUUCUCGCCAUACUGUAUUAUAGGCUUUGGCUAUGUCUAGGAUGGCUAUGUCGGCAUGCAGGUUUUGGUCUUUUGCGUCGCGUAAAAUCUGACCCAGGGUUCCCAGGUGGAUUCCUGUUCCUUGGCCUUGGCGGAAAGCGAAUUGUCUUUGGUCGAGCAGUUGGUUAGUCUCUAAAUAAGCUGACAGGCGGCGGUUUACCAUUUUUUCCAUGAUUUUUCCAAUACAUGGGAGAAGACUGAUGGGACGGAAGUCUUUUACGGUUCUGUUUCCCUCGCAUUUCUUGGGAAUAGGGACGACUAAGGCACUUUUCCAGUAAUCGGGUAGUUUCCCGCGCUCCCAUAUUGUGUUAUAACACUUCAGUAGUGCUUUUUUGGCGUCGGGUGGGAGAUGCUGUAUGAGUGGGUAGCUGAUGCCGUCGCUUCCGGCUGAUUUACCGUGUGCUGAUGCUAGUGCAUGUUGGAGUUCGGAGCCGGAGAAUGGUUGGUUGAACUGUUGUCCGGUGUCGGGGGGAAAGGUAGUUUUGAUGAGUUCAAGUUUGGCUUUCUUUGUUAGGAAUGCAGGAUGUAAGGCAUUGUUGGCUGAUAAUGAGGCAAAGUGGGUGCCCAUUUCCUCUGCCAUUAUGGAGGGGUCUAUUGUGGUGGUGCCGUUAGUGUUGAGGGUGAAGCCGGUGUGGCGGCGCUUGCCGUUUAGUGCGUUGACCCUUCUCCAAAGUUGGGUUGUGUUUGAGUCGGUUGAGAUUUCUUCUAAGAAUCGGGUCCAGCUUGCCUCUUUUGCUUCUCGGAUUGCUUUCCUGGCUUGGUUCCUUUUAGUUCUGAAUAUCUGUUCCUUUUCCUGUCGGGUUGGGUUAUUAAUUUCGGUUUUUUGUAGUACCCGCAGUGCCUUACGGCGGGCUUUGAUGGCGUCUGCCACCUCUGGGCACCACCAGUGGAUGGCUCGCUUCGCAGCCUUUUUACCUGUUUUAGGUAUGGUUUCGUGGGCGGCUUGGUUCAUUAUAAGGCCGAGCUCUGUGGCGGUGUACUCCCUGUUAGGUUCUAUGUUGAUUGAUACAAGGCGUUCGUAUUCGGGCCAGUCCGCACGUUCCGUGAUCCAUCGUGGUCUUCGUGUAGUGUCGGGUGAGUGUUGGUUAUGGGAAAUGGUAAUGGGAAAAUGGUCGCUGUUGGCAGGAUCAUCGAGGACCUCCCAAGAGCAUAAUCUGGCUACUGAUGAUGAAGCUAUGGAGAUGUCGAUUGCCGAUUCGGAGUUCCCGCGAGUGAAGGUAAUUCUGCCGUCGUUUAGAAUUAUUGCGUUGUGAUCUUCGAUGGUUUCGAUUAUUAGGUUCCCUCGUUGGUUGCUUUGGCGUGCUCCCCAACGUUCGUGGUGGGCGUUGACAUCCCCCAGGAUGAGGAAUGGGGGAUGAAUUUCUUCAAUUAGUUUGCGGAAUUUGUGGUUUAAAUUGGAAAUGUUUUGGGGUAGGUAAAUCGAGACGACCGUUAUUUUAAACGGGUAUGUGAUCUGUCUGGCAACAGCGAUCAGAUCUGUCCGCAGUUGAAUGAUGGUAGAAGGAAUGUCCUUACGUAUUCCAAGUCCGACUGUUUGAUAGAUGUUCUCCCCGGUUUUAGCUUCCCAUGUGUAAUUGUGUCCGAGCCAUGCAGUGGGGUCGGUGGCGUCGGAGAGGUGGGUUUCUUGUAAAGCCAGACAGAUAGGAUUGGUAUUAUUGAUUAAUAUUUGUAGGUCGCCUAGAGAGUUUCGUAGUCCGUUAGUGUUCCAUUGUAAUGCGAGUGUUGUUCGGUUUUGGAUCAUUUUUGUUUUGUUUUGUAGAGUUAGUUGAUCUCGGUGCAUGUCUUUUGUUGGAGGGGUUAGUAUCUUAAUGUCCUUUUAUUCGAUUGUUGGGUCGAUAUCCGAGGAAUGAUCGGUUUCUAUCCCCUCCAUUUCAGGAGGGGGUGAGAAAUUGUCGUUGGCUCUGCUUGUAUUCUGUUUUUUUGCUCGUGGUGAUUGGGUAGGGGAGUUUUCUCUAUGUUUGUCUGCACUUUGUUGAGGUAGUUUCUUCGAUGUAUUGAUAAUUGGGAUUAUCUCCGUAAAUAGGUUUCCGUAGUUGGCCGUUGCUUUUUCAGGGUUGGAUGUGGGGAUGUCAUCGUUGGAAUUGUGUUUGGUUUUCCGGGUGUUGUCUUUGGGAUGUGUCCAUGUGCUUUGUGACUGGGUGUAGUUUCCAGUAAUAUGUUUCUUUAGUUCGGCCAUCUCAGCGAGAAUCUGCAUGUUAAUUUUUUGGCUUUCUUGUAGCUCUUGUUUCAGUUUUUUUAUUAGAGUGUCUUUGCUAUUAACCAGUUGUGUGAUCUUUGAGCGAUAUUGGUUUUUGAGUUCCUCGAAGUCUUUUUCCAAUUUUUCUGAUUUUUCACGCCACUCCUUUGCCUCGUUGCUUGCUACAUUAACGAAGGUUUGUUGUUUUGGCUUGUGUAGUUUCCUAGCUUCCGCAUAGGUGAGGUUAUUGUCGAUUUUAGUUUUCACUAUUUUCAUUUCGGCGAUGUAAUU
Long non-coding RNA from Malaya genurostris, 5490 nucleotides. RefSeq lists it as uncharacterized. The record is from RefSeq and is a predicted model, not a curated record. Lineage: Eukaryota; Metazoa; Arthropoda; Insecta; Diptera; Culicidae. The transcript has 2 exons.